UGCCUAAUACAUGCAAGUCGAGCGAACGGACGAGAAGCUUGCUUCUCUGAUGUUAGCGGCGGACGGGUGAGUAACACGUGGAUAACCUACCUAUAAGACUGGGAUAACUUCGGGAAACCGGAGCUAAUACCGGAUAAUAUUAUGAACCGCAUGGUUCAAAAGUGAAAGACGGUCUUGCUGUCACUUAUAGAUGGAUCCGCGCUGCAUUAGCUAGUUGGUAAGGUAACGGCUUACCAAGGCAACGAUGCAUAGCCGACCUGAGAGGGUGAUCGGCCACACUGGAACUGAGACACGGUCCAGACUCCUACGGGAGGCAGCAGUAGGGAAUCUUCCGCAAUGGGCGAAAGCCUGACGGAGCAACGCCGCGUGAGUGAUGAAGGUCUUCGGAUCGUAAAACUCUGUUAUUAGGGAAGAACAUAUGUGUAAGUAACUGUGCACAUCUUGACGGUACCUAAUCAGAAAGCCACGGCUAACUACGUGCCAGCAGCCGCGGUAAUACGUAGGUGGCAAGCGUUAUCCGGAAUUAUUGGGCGUAAAGCGCGCGUAGGCGGUUUUUUAAGUCUGAUGUGAAAGCCCACGGCUCAACCGUGGAGGGUCAUUGGAAACUGGAAAACUUGAGUGCAGAAGAGGAAAGUGGAAUUCCAUGUGUAGCGGUGAAAUGCGCAGAGAUAUGGAGGAACACCAGUGGCGAAGGCGACUUUCUGGUCUGUAACUGACGCUGAUGUGCGAAAGCGUUGGGGAUCAAACAGGAUUAGAUACCCUG
Molecule: ribosomal RNA, 763 nt
Filed under: uncultured Staphylococcus sp.
Lineage: Bacteria; Bacillati; Bacillota; Bacilli; Caryophanales; Staphylococcaceae
Description: bacterial SSU rRNA
Rfam family: Bacterial small subunit ribosomal RNA
Source: RNAcentral